GCGGCCUAUUCCCUAACAUUCUGAAUACUCAACUGUCUUCCUACCUACCUUUUUGGGAAUGUCAGUACGUGGCAGUGGGAAUAUGCAGCGGUUCUCUGAGAUACCGCGGCCUAUUCCCCUGCCAAUUUAUUGCAGGGGCUGACCGAUGGGGAAUGUCAGUAGGUUGUAGUGGGAAUAUGCCGCGAUUGCUCAGAGAACCGCGACCGAUUCCCCUGUUAUUUAAUUUUUUCCUGACGUGACGUCAAAAUUGAUGGUUGACCUGGGGUAUAUGUCGCGGUUCAGUUGGGAACCGUGGCAUAUAAGUUGGAUUUAUUUACAAAACUGCCACCGCGCA
This 334-nucleotide long non-coding RNA is filed under the name Vigna radiata. RNAcentral describes it as "long non-coding RNA (VRAD_LNC006686)". Lineage: Eukaryota; Viridiplantae; Streptophyta; Magnoliopsida; Fabales; Fabaceae. The record is from RNAcentral.